GAUGAACGCUGGCGGCGUGCCUAAUACAUGCAAGUCGAGCGAACAGACGAGGAGCUUGCUCCUCUGACGUUAGCGGCGGACGGGUGAGUAACACGUGGAUAACCUACCUAUAAGACUGGGAUAACUUCGGGAAACCGGAGCUAAUACCGGAUAAUAUAUUGAACCGCAUGGUUCAAUAGUGAAAGACGGUUUUGCUGUCACUUAUAGAUGGAUCCGCGCCGCAUUAGCUAGUUGGUAAGGUAACGGCUUACCAAGGCGACGAUGCGUAGCCGACCUGAGAGGGUGAUCGGCCACACUGGAACUGAGACACGGUCCAGACUCCUACGGGAGGCAGCAGUAGGGAAUCCUCCGCAAUGGGCGAAAGCCUGACGGAGCAACGCCGCGUGAGUGAUGAAGGUCUUCGGAUCGUAAAACUCUGUUAUUAGGGAAGAACAAAUGUGUAAGUAGCUAUGCACGUCUUGACGGUACCUAAUCAGAAAGCCACGGCUAACUACGUG
Molecule: ribosomal RNA, 497 nt
Filed under: uncultured bacterium
Lineage: Bacteria
Description: partial 16S ribosomal RNA
Rfam family: Bacterial small subunit ribosomal RNA
Source: RNAcentral